GAUGAACGCUGGCGGCGUGCCUAAUACAUGCAAGUCGAGCGAACAGACGAGGAGCUUGCUCCUCUGACGUUAGCGGCGGACGGGUGAGUAAAACGUGGAUAACCUACCUAUAAGACUGGGAUAACUUCGGGAAACCGGAGCUAAUACCGGAUAAUAUAUUGAACCGCAUGGUUCAAUAGUGAAAGACGGUUUUGCUGUCACUUAUAGAUGGAUCCGCGCCGCAUUAGCUAGUUGGUAAGGUAACGGCUUACCAAGGCAACGAUGCGUAGCCGACCUGAGAGGGUGAUCAGCCACACUGGAACUGAGACACGGUCCAGACUCCUACGGGAGGCAGCAGUAGGGAAUCUUCCGCAAUGGGCGAAAGCCUGACGGAGCAACGCCGCGUGAGUGAUGAAGGUCUUCGGAUCGUAAAACUCUGUUAUUAGGGAAGAACAAAUGUAUAAGUAACUAUGCACGUCUUGACGGUACCUAAUCAGAAAGCCACGGCUAACUACGUG
This 497-nucleotide ribosomal RNA is filed under the name uncultured bacterium. Its description in RNAcentral is "partial 16S ribosomal RNA". It matches the Rfam family "Bacterial small subunit ribosomal RNA", at positions 28 to 507 of the family's 1533-position model. The record is from RNAcentral.